This 68-nucleotide transfer RNA is filed under the name Chlamydiota bacterium. RNAcentral's name for it is "Chlamydiae bacterium tRNA-Pro". It matches the Rfam family "tRNA". Rfam says of the family: Transfer RNA (tRNA) molecules are approximately 80 nucleotides in length. Their secondary structure includes four short double-helical elements and three loops (D, anti-codon, and T loops). Further hydrogen bonds mediate the characteristic L-shaped molecular structure. tRNAs have two regions of fundamental functional importance: the anti-codon, which is responsible for specific mRNA codon recognition, and the 3' end, to which the tRNAs corresponding amino acid is attached (by aminoacyl-tRNA synthetases). tRNAs cope with the degeneracy of the genetic code in two manners: having more than one tRNA (with a specific anti-codon) for a particular amino acid; and 'wobble' base-pairing, i.e. permitting non-standard base-pairing at the 3rd anti-codon position. Lineage: Bacteria; Pseudomonadati; Chlamydiota. The record is from RNAcentral.
GGUGUAGCGCAGCUUGGCUAGCGCACUAGCAUGGGGUGCUAGGGGUCGGAGGUUCAAAUCCUCUCACC